UUGACUUUUUCAGCGAGGAACUGUGAUCUCACCAACAUUUGUGUGCAAGCCAAGAUUUCGCAGCUCCAACAAAGAAAUCUCGAGACCUCCCAAUAAUCUCUUGGGAGAUAGAAAUUCUUGAGACACGAAUUUCAUUGAAGGUCGAGAUUUUGGAUUUGAAUGCAAGCAAGAAAAUGCCAGACUUGCAAUAAUACAUAUAUUCUGUAUGACAAUUUCAUUUGUUGGAGGUGGCAAACGAGGAUCUAACACUUCUUUCAGUGUCAUAGCCCGAGCAGAUGAUGAUAGGAUAUCUCCCGGAUGCUUUCCCAUCAAAGUUUCAAGCGCCACUACUCCAAAGCUAUAGACAUCACAUUUCUCUGUCACCACCAUAGUAUAAGCCAACUCUGUAGAUAUACAAAACGAAAUAAAAAAAUAUAUAUAUAAAAAAAAACUGAGAGUUUGCUUUAGUUUUGCAGUGCAUGAGUGGUAAAUAUGCAUGUUAAGAAGAAAUAUUUUUACCUGGGGCAAUGUAUCCAUAGGUACCAGCAAGUACAGUAUGGUUGGAUGAAUCAGGAUCGAGAAGUCUAGCCACACCAAAAUCAGCAACAAAAGACUUGGAUUCUGAAUUCAACAGAACAUUGCUGCUUGAUAUGUCUCGAUGAACAAUUGGUGGGUUGCACUCAUGAUGCAAGUAAGAUAAUGCGUGAGCAAUGUCUUUGAUGAUGUGUGCUCUUUUCAUCCACUUCAAUUCCACGGCUCCAACAUCAUUUCUCAAGGCACAAAACAAGCUUCCCUUUUCCAUGUACUCGUAAACAAGAAACAUGCAGCGCUGGUGCAAACAGAAUCCAUAAAGCCUUACAAUGCUCCUGUGACGUAUUUGUGUGAGCAGCUCCACCUCAUUUUUGAAACUCUUGUCAAAAGCCGGCUCCUCUGCCUCGCGAUGAUGAAGUUUCUUCAAGGCAACUAAUUUCCCACUUGGAAGUUGUGCUCGGUAGACGCUCCCAUAACCACCGGAUCCGAUACAAUAUCUGAGGUCGAAGUUCUCGGUCGCUGCAAUGAUGUCUUCGUAUGCAAUCCUCCCAUCAUAAUUCCAUAUGAAAACAAGUCUCCAUUCUUUAAUGAUGUUGGCUCAGGUUGGGUAGCCUUGCAUCGAGACAGAUAACAACAUCCGAGACACGAGACAAAGUGAAAUGGUGGUGAUAGGAAGAAAUAUUUUGAUGGAAUGAAUUAUUCUGUUGUCUUUUGAAGGCAACAAGUAGGUUUUUGAAGGUGGGGGGUAAAUAGAUGGACAACGUGAGAAAUCAGGGUGUAAAUCUUUGUUGCCCUCAAAUGCAGUAGCUUGAAAAAUUUCAGGACUGUUGGUUCUUUGCCCAUGAAGAGAAUCACAGGUGAAAGACACAUCAAAGGGUUGUGGCAAUUGCAAGGGUACAGAGCCUGAGAGGUUAUUGUAACCAAAAUUCACAUAAGAUAAAGAGGGCAAAUUAUAUAGUUGGGAGGGUAUUUGUCCACUUAAAUUACUGUGGCUCAAAUCUAGAUAGGUCAAAUAUUUACAGUUCUUCAAAGAUGAAGCUAUGGAUCCAUUGAUUUGGUUACGAGAAAGGUCUAGUUUCUUCAAAUUGGUUAAACUGCCUAGCAUAAAAGGAAUCGAACCACUGAAAUUGUUUGAAUUCAGACAUAAUUCUUCCAAAUUUGUCAAGUUCUGUAUUUCCAAAGGGAUUGAUCCAUUGAUUUGGUUACGACAAAGGUCUAGCUUCUUCAAAUUGAGUAAACUGCCCAGUAUAGUUGGAACGGAACCACUGAUAUUGUUUGAACUCAGAUGUAAUUCUUCCAAGUUUGUCAAGUUUCGUAUUUUCAAAGCGAUGGAUCCGAUGAUUUGGUUGUUAGAUAGGUCUAGAAAUGUCAAGUUUCUUAAAUUUCCUAAUGAAAUAGGAAUGGAACCAGUGAUCUUGUUGCCUCUGAGAAACAAACGACAUAGAUUUGUCAAAUUUCCUAUUUCUGAAGAGAUGGAUCCAUUGAUUUGGUUGUCAAAAAGAUGCAAAAGAAUCAAAUUGGAUAAAAGACUAAAUAUAGAAGGAAUUGAACCAGCUAGGAUAUUAGAGGAAAGGUCUAAAUGUUCUAGAUUCGUCAAAUUUCCUAUUUGCAAAGGGAUGGAUCCAUUGAUUCCGUUAAAAGAAAGAUCUAGAUUAGUCAAAUCGGAUAAAAAACCUAUCGUUGAAGGAAUUGAACCAACUAGGAUAUUAGAUAUAAGCUGUAAAUCUUUUAGAUUCGUCAAAUUUCCUAUUUCUAAAGGGAUGAAUCCAUUGAUUGCGUUGCGAGAAAGGAUCAAAGACCUCAACUUGGCUAAACUACCCAUUGUUCGAGGGAUUGGACCAUUAAGUCUAUUAUUACUCGCGUCCAAAAUCUCUAGAUUUUUAAGAUUGCCUAGUUCUGGAGGGAUGGAAUUGAUGAAAUUAUUGGAAGAAAAAUCAAGCUCAACUAAUCGGCUGAGAUUUCCAAGUGAAGACGGUAACUCACCAGCUAGAUUAUUUGAGGACAGGUUGAGGUAUCUGAGUUGUGGAAGGAUGGAAAUUUGAGGCGGGAUGCUCCCACUGAGCUCAUGGUUGGGCAGGUGGAGACGGACAAGGUUUGAGAAGCAAGAAAAGUUCAUCUUUCCAAACUUAUUUCCCACCUUGAGGAACUCUGGAGGAGGGGAAAUCUCAGUGAUGCUUCCAGCCCGAUCACAGACUAUGCCAGUCCACUUGCAGCGAUGUGAGGUGAGGUUGCUGUAGUCACUCCACCAUCCACUCUCAAGCAAAGCCUUGCCUUCUGAUGCUAGCAAGGCUGAGUCAUCAAGUGCAGCCACAAGACCAGUACAUGAUACAAAAAUACAGGACAAGAAAAUUGAGGUGCUUAAAAGUGCAAGAAGUUUUGGCUCAUAAUCAAUGGAUGCCAUGUUUGCGUGUAAUGCUUCCCUUCAAUGAUAAUGCUAAAUUUAUGAUUGAAGUGCAUGGUUUUUUCAUGAACUCAUUCCAAGUCAAGUUCCUCUGGUCUUUCACGUGUACUAUUCUUACUGUCUUUUUGAAACCAAAGAUGAUGCAUAUGAUAAUAAAAAAGCCUUGUGAGCAUGCUAAUUUACCGAGGAAAGAUUUUGAAAAUGAGUUUGUUUCACGGUUCGGAGGGGUGGUGCAGUGGUGAAGCAUAUGAUAAUAAGAGCCUGAUGUUGUGUGCUCCAGCAAACAAGUUUUGGGAUUGGGCUUUGCCCUCAGAAAGAGAUGACAGAUGUUGGUCCUGAGGAUUACCCUUCUUUUCCUGGCUUGUCUAAGAGCAUCAGGACAGUUGCACACACCCCAAGGUUUCAUUCUUUUAUAAACCAGAAGCUGAUACGAAGAAAUCAUUUUUUCUGUUAGUAAAUGUCUCUGAGACAAUAAAAACUCUCUUUUAACUUCUUUCGGUUCCAAACAUGAGACAUAAAUCUUGAAGUGGUAUUCCUUUGGAAGAUGAUUGAAAAUCCCAUCUGUGCCAAAUGAUAAAUACCAAAGCACAUCAGUCAGAAAAAAAAUCAAUCUCCAAACACUGCUUUCAGGCAUCCAAUAUACAAGAGCUUGCAGGCACAAAUGGAGUUAACAAAUAUCUUCUGCAUAUUUCAAGUGGGGAUUUGCCUAAUUGUAAGAUGAGUGAUGAUUUCAAUUUAACCUAGACAGUGAUGCUCUAAUUGAUUCUACAGUACACGAGAAAAGUGUGCAUUGUUAAAAUUACAUACAAUGUCACCCUAAAAUAUUAUAAAGACAUUUAAUGUACUAAAAGAAAAAAGUUCUUCCAAAAUUAAGAAAUAUUAUAAACUUCAAUGUGAGCUCAAAGUUCACAUUUUCAACUAGGAACUGUGAUAUCACCUCCAUUUGCGUGCAUGCCAAGAGUUCGCAGCUCCAGCAAAGAAAUCUCAAGACCUGCCAGUGAUCUCUUGGGAGAUAGAAAUUCUUGAGACACGAAUUUUAUUGAAGGUCGAGAUUUUGGAUUCGAAUGUAAGCAAGAGAAUGCCAGAGUUGCAAUAAUACAUAUAUUCUGUAUGACAAUUUCAUUUGUCGGAGGUGACAAACGAGGAUCUAACACUUCUUUCAGUGUAAUAGCCCGAGCAGAUGAUGAUAAGAUAUCUCCUGGAUGCCUUCCCAUCAAUGUUUCUAGCGCCACUACUCCAAAGCUAUAGACAUCACAUUUCUCUGUCACCAACAUAGUAUAAGCCAGCUCUGUCCAUAAACAAAAUGAAAUUAAAAAAAUAAUAUAAAAGAGAGUUUGCUUUAAUGUUGGUGUGCAUGACAUGAGUGAUACACGUAUAUAAAGAAGAAAUAUUUGACCUGGGGCAAUGUAUCCAUAGGUACCAGCAAGUACAGUAUGGUUGGACGAAUCUGGAUCGAGAAGUCUAGCCACGCCAAAAUCAGCAACAAAAGACUUGGAUACUGAAUUCAACAGAACAUUGCUGCUUGAUAUGUCUCGAUGAACAAUUGGUGGGUUGCACUCAUGAUGCAAGUAAGAUAAUGCGUGAGCAAUGUCUUUGAUGAUGUGUGCUCUUUUCAUCCACUUCAAUUCCACGGCUCCAACAUCAUUUCUCAAGGCACAAAACAAGCUUCCCUUUUCCAUGUACUCGUAAACAAGAAACAUGCAGCGCUGGUGCAAACAGAAUCCAUAAAGCCUUACAAUGCUCCUGUGACGUAUUUGUGUGAGCAGCUCCACCUCAUUUUUGAAACUCUUGUCAAAAGCCGGCUCCUCUGCCUCGCGAUGAUGAAGUUUCUUCAAGGCAACUAAUUUCCCACUUGGAAGUUGUGCUCGGUAGACGCUCCCAUAACCACCGGAUCCGAUACAAUAUCUGAGGUCGAAGUUCUCGGUCGCUGCAAUGAUGUCUUCGUAUGCAAUCCUCCCAUCAUAAUUCCAUAUGGAAAACAAGUCUCCAUUCUUUAAUGAUGUUGGCUCAGGUUGGGUAGCCUUGCAUCGAGACAGAUAACAACAUCCGAGACACAAGAGACAAAGUGAAAUGGUGCUGAUAGGAAGAAAUAUUUUGAUGGAAUGAAUCAUUCUGUUAGUUUUUGAAGGUAACGUACAGUUUGAGAGAUCAGGGUGUAAAUCUUUGUUGCCCUCAAAUGCAGUAGCUUUAAAAGUUACUGAAUCGUUUGUAAUUUGCCCGUGAAGAGGUAAAUCACAUGUGAGAUAAAAAUCAAAGGGUGGUGGCAAAUUCAAGGGAACAGGGCCUGAGAGAUUAUUGUAACUAAAAUUCACAUACUGUAAAGA
This 5235-nucleotide long non-coding RNA is filed under the name Populus trichocarpa (black cottonwood). RNAcentral's name for it is "long non-coding RNA (PTRI_LNC000529)". Lineage: Eukaryota; Viridiplantae; Streptophyta; Magnoliopsida; Malpighiales; Salicaceae. The record is from RNAcentral.